GGGCGGUUAGCUCAGCUGGUAGAGCGCCUGCCUUACAAGCAGGAGGUCACUGGUUCGACCCCAGUACCGCCCA
RNAcentral lists this transfer RNA (73 nucleotides) under Solirubrobacterales bacterium. RNAcentral's name for it is "tRNA-Val". It matches the Rfam family "tRNA". Rfam says of the family: Transfer RNA (tRNA) molecules are approximately 80 nucleotides in length. Their secondary structure includes four short double-helical elements and three loops (D, anti-codon, and T loops). The record is from RNAcentral. Lineage: Bacteria; Bacillati; Actinomycetota; Thermoleophilia; Solirubrobacterales.